GGCUCCAUGGCGUAACGGUAGCGUACCGGGCCCUUUACCCGGGGGUGCAGCGUUCGAUUCCUGCUGGGGCCA
Molecule: transfer RNA, 72 nt
Filed under: Phaeodactylibacter sp.
Lineage: Bacteria; Pseudomonadati; Bacteroidota; Saprospiria; Saprospirales; Haliscomenobacteraceae
Also listed under: 1 other name
Description: tRNA-Lys
Rfam family: tRNA
About the family: Transfer RNA (tRNA) molecules are approximately 80 nucleotides in length.
Source: RNAcentral